CUAAAGCAAACGUCAGUAAUUGCAGAGGUAGAGCCUCCACUGGAGGACCAGGGGUCCUGGUUAUUCAUCAAGGCUUCACUCCGCUCGGCCUCCAUCGGCAACUUGCGAGCAUCGACCUCGGUUACAUCUGUGAGCGAGGAAGCGACUGGCUCAACUGCGGCAUCACCACCGUAACUGGCAACAGCGUUUCGCCCGACUAUCAGACACGAGCAAACUCUGCUCCUGGCCUGCACUGCGGAGCUCUGAACGACCUCAUCACUGGGCACGCAGUCCCCGAAGGAAGGAACGUCCCACACCGCGCCGCCGCCGCCGCCGCCACCACGAGCCACGGCGGCGGCCCUACGUUCCCCGAGCGAGGCCGGGACACUGCCGUGCGGUCCCCCCGCCGCUUCCACCGGCCCUGCGCCCGCCCGCGACCCCGGCCCCGGCUCCACACCUGUCUCCGCGCUCCCCGAGGACUGCUCUUCCUUCCCGAGGGCUGCGACCACCGUUCCUGGGCAACUGAGAAGCCUGCGGAGAGGACGCUGGACUUGACUUCUCUGAGCACGGAGGGGCAAACUGGUCAACAGCCCCAAGCCACGAGCCGCCAUUAUCAAAGCGGCAGGAACACGGACGAAAGGGCGCCGGGCUUCCGCGCAUGCGCGCGGAGGAGGUGGGAAAGGAUGGGAAGCCUAGCGGGUCAAACUAGGCGAAGGACGUUCGCUUAUACAAGAAAGCGAGUUGCGGCUUGAAUGAGGCUUUCGCACGUGUCUGAUUUCCCCUCUCCCACGGUUCUCUAAAAGAAGGCUCGCAGGAGAACGAGCACGCCACCUACUCUUUCAAACUGAGUCAUGAAAAUAGAACCAGAGAGCAAGGGCAUGAGGAAGGAGCACUGACUUGCGAAUCUAUACUUAGAAGACGAUAAACGCUUUGCUUUCAAAGAAUUACAUUACCGUACUGUAUGCCUCCGUCUCAUAAUUGGAGAAGUUGUGUAUCAGCCUAUCAUCCUAGUGUUCCGCUGUCCCCAGGCUAUAGGUUCCCUGAAGGCCAUUGAGUUUGUCCACUACUGUUUCCCAGCACCUGGAACUGUGCCUGCC
Molecule: long non-coding RNA, 1076 nt
Organism: Balaenoptera ricei (Rice's whale)
Lineage: Eukaryota; Metazoa; Chordata; Mammalia; Artiodactyla; Balaenopteridae
Exons: 3
Source: RefSeq, a predicted model, not a curated record